This 2617-nucleotide long non-coding RNA is filed under the name Canis lupus familiaris (dog). Its description in RNAcentral is "lncRNA (ENSCAFG00000052696.1, ENSCAFG00805011512.1)". Lineage: Eukaryota; Metazoa; Chordata; Mammalia; Carnivora; Canidae. The record is from RNAcentral.
GGGGGGGCGGUGGGGGUGGUGGUUAGGGGGCAGAACCGAAGCAACUUGGCCCAGAAAGCUGGGUGCUCAGGAGGCUCUGCUCUAAAGGUGACAGAUCCUAGGAAGUGGCCACUCUGCUGGGAGGGGUGGGCUUGGCUGUCCUGCCCCCAUGCUGCCCUUCCACACCCCUGGCCUGGGUCUGGACCUGUCCCCAUCCCUGGAUCUGGCUCUUGGUUUCCCAAAGGCAAAGGGGAGGGGUGCUGUCCAUUCUCUGCCCCAGGUCCCUGGCCUCUGCUCAGUGCUGUGCACUCCCCUGUAAGCUCAGAGAAGUGAACUGGCAUCUGGUCUGGGUCCUGGGAGCCUGAAGCCACACUGCUGAGGCCAUCAGGAAGUUAAAAUCUAGGGGCUGGGGCAAAUCCCGGAGCCCUUUUCCUGAUGCCCUGGCAACCUGCAGGGCAGGGAGGGCUGCUACUUCUGCCCCAACUUAUCUGUCCUUGGUGUCAUCUCUGUCUUUCCCCCUGAACACCUGCUUCUGCAGUGAGCUACUCUGAGUGGGCCACCACCUCCCUCUGAGGAAGGCCCUUAGUUGGACUUAGGGCCGCACUGAGCUUGGGCUGGGGAGGAGUGAGGGGGCCUGUGUGCAGGGCGUGCCGGUUUCCCCACCUCUGCCUCUGCUGACUGCUUUGGCUUCUCUCUUAUGUGGGUAUUUAUUACAAGUGGCCUUGUGUCAGACACAUGCUCAGUUGUACACACAUGCACACUCAGCUCGCCACCUGGACACACACACACUUUUGUGGGGAGAGAAAGCCAGUGUCUCUAGUUGUGAAGUUUGCUUUGAUAGGCUGGGGGCAGGGGACAGGACACUUAACUCCCUUUCAGUUCCUUCCUAGUCCUGGAAACCUCCCAGGGGACUGUUCUCAUUGGUCUUGCCUGGGGUGGGGAAAGGGAAGGCCUAUGGUCACCCCAGAGGCCUCCAAGAGGGAGCCUCACACCCACCUCAGCAUAGCACUUCCACCCCACAAGCCUGCUGCCCUCCUACUCCUGCAGCCACCACCUGCCACCCUGGUUCUUGGGGAAACCAGUUUACAGUCUUCCCUGAGUGAUUGGGACUGCAAGAGCAGAGGGAGCCAGCUGGGCCUGGUGCCCAGGAACAGAGAAGCAUCAGGGGACCUGCCCUUCCUUUCAGGCUCUGCUCACCUCCCUGCAUUCUGAGGCCAUUUCAGAGUUGAAAGUGUGUCAACCAGUGGCCUCUCGGGCCUGCACAGAUACCUCAUCCGCCCGCUCACCGCCCCUGCCCCUCCCCACCCCUAGCAGUGGGGGCCUUCGAAUCUAGUGCCGAAUGACUAUGUCCAGAUUGGUGACGAUGGGUGUUGUUGCUGUUGUUUUUGUUGUUGUUUGUGAACGCUGUGAUGCUGUGUGCCCUAGAGGGCAGCCACCGCUCAGCCCUUCCUUGGGCAUCUCCCUUCUGAGAGCUGUCAGGACCACAUCUGUCCUCACCCUGUGGGACCGCCUGCCCCUCCCCUCCCUAGCCCUUCCAGCCUGGGGGCUGCGCGCGCGUGUGUGCAUACGUGCACGCGCACACAAACACACAUACACACACACCUUACCUCUCAUGCGUGUUUUACUUUUUGACGUUAGGAGUGGCUCACUGGCUGGGAGCCUUUACCUCGGGGAGAGGGGGAGGUUGGUUCCUUGGGGGGCCAAAGAAGGGCAGGGAGUGCCUGGAGGGGAAUUAAGGGUUACUAAAGCCCUGGCUCUCCAGGAACAGCUUCUCCCCCAUCCCAGGGUCCCAUCCCCAUCCCCCAAAGAGGUGGCCCUUGUUUACAGUGAGGACUCUGGUCACUGUGUCUCCGUUUCCUGAAAUAUAAACUGUAGCGACCCCAGACUGUAGAGAUUUUUAUGUGUUUGGAUACAUCUGCUGUGUGGGAAAAAAACAAAAACCCUACAAAAAACCCUAAUUUUGUACAUAUUGUAUUUUUACUAUUGAACUGUAUUCUAGUGGCUGUUCAUGCUCCAAGACUUUAGGUAUUGAGACAUGAAUACUAUCCAUGUAAUAAGCACUUGCCUGGAAUAAAAUAUAAAACUGAAUAAACCUGCACUGAAACCAGAGAUGGAGCUGCCAGGCUAUGGCAUCUGGGUCACUGUGUUGCAACAGGAGGCCCCCAGACCUCUUGGGAAGGACCUCCAGCAAGAAGCCUCGGGGGCCUGACCCUGUUGACAUUUGAGGGGCACAGGUCCUCAAGCAGCUCAGUGCUGGUCAAUUUUAGAGAAGAUUUGGGACCUUCUGGCUCUAAUGCCAAUGUUCAGUCCCAAGCAAGCUCUGAGAACUGCAGUUCUCAUCUUAGACUUUUGUAAUACUUUCCACUUCCCCAAACCAUUUUUACAAACACUAUCUUGUUUCAUCUCCUAACAGCACGGUGGAGUAAAUAAGCCAAGAACUAGCCCUGUUGUGGCAGGUGAGAAAACAGGUUUGAGGUGGCCAAGUGACUUGUUAGGGUCACACAGCUAGCUGGCCUGGGCCUGCUGUAGACCUGGAGCUCCUUAACCUGAGGAAAUUCCAGUAGGAAAGUGGAGGGGAUCUAUGCACAGAAGAGUAAGAGGCUUCCUGAGAGGAGAUGUGCUUCUGAGGUGGUGAGUC